GAUGAACGCUGGCGGCGUGCCUAAUAGAUGCAAGUCGAGCGAACAGACGAGGAGCUUGCUCCUCUGACGUUAGCGGCGGACGGGUGAGUAACACGUGGAUAACCUACCUAUAAGACUGGGAUAACUUCGGGAAACCGGAGCUAAUACCGGAUAAUAUAUUGAACCGCAUGGUUCAAUAGUGAAAGACGGUUUUGCUGUCACUUAUAGAUGGAUCCGCGCCGCAUUAGCUAGUUGGUAAGGUAACGGCUUACCAAGGCAACGAUGCGUAGCCGACCUGAGAGGGUGAUCGGCCACACUGGAACUGAGACACGGUCCAGACGCCUACGGGAGGCAGCAGUAGGGAAUCUUCCGCAAUGGGCGAAAGCCUGACGGAGCAACGCCGCGUGAGUGAUGAAGGUCUUCGGAUCGUAAAACUCUUUUAUUAGGGAAGAACAAAUGUGUAAGUAACUAGGCACGUCUUGACGGUACCUAAUCAGAAAGCCACGGCUAACUACGUG
RNAcentral lists this ribosomal RNA (497 nucleotides) under uncultured bacterium. Its description in RNAcentral is "partial 16S ribosomal RNA". It matches the Rfam family "Bacterial small subunit ribosomal RNA", at positions 28 to 507 of the family's 1533-position model. The record is from RNAcentral.